This is a long non-coding RNA of Cyprinodon tularosa, 269 nucleotides long. RefSeq lists it as uncharacterized. The transcript has 3 exons. Lineage: Eukaryota; Metazoa; Chordata; Actinopteri; Cyprinodontiformes; Cyprinodontidae. The record is from RefSeq and is a predicted model, not a curated record.
CCCAUGCCGUCAUUACUACCCGGUUGGAUUACAGUAAUGCACUAUAUGUGGGGGUAGAGUGGCUCCAACAUUGCUAGACUCCAAAGAGAGCAAAACGCUGCAGCACGUCUUUUAUCUGGCACUCCUUCUAAACCUUCAUGCACCCUCCCGUUCACUCAGGAAGUCAUCUUGCAAACUGGAUGUUUGGGCCUUCUCCCCCUGGAAGGAUCAUCUUGAGCUUCCUACUGAGUAGGGGAUGCAAACAGGAGGUUUGGACCUUCUCCCCCCGA